RNAcentral lists this ribosomal RNA (393 nucleotides) under uncultured bacterium. Its description in RNAcentral is "partial 16S ribosomal RNA". It matches the Rfam family "Bacterial small subunit ribosomal RNA", at positions 523 to 918 of the family's 1533-position model. The record is from RNAcentral.
AUACGUAGGUGACAAGCGUUAUCCGGAUUUACUGGGCGUAAAGGGCGUGUAGGCGGUCUUGCAAGUCAGAAGUGAAAUUCCUGAGCUCAACUCGGGCGCUGCUUCUGAAACUGCAGGACUUGAGUGCUGGAGGGGAUAGCGGAAUUCCUAGUGGAGCGGUAAAAUGCGCAGAUAUGAGGAAGAACACCGGUGGCGAAGGCGGCUAUCUGGACAGUAACUGACGCUGAGGCGCGAAAGCGUGGGGAGCAAACAGGAUUAGAGCCCCUGGUAGGCCACGCCGUAAACGAUGGGCGCUCGUCGUCGGCGGCAGACAGUCGGCGGCCAAGCGAAAGCGAUAAGCGCCCCACCUGGGGAGUACGGUCGCAAGGCUGAAACUCAAAUGAAUUGACGGGG